GCUGGCGUAGCUCAACUGGUAGAGCAGCUGAUUUGUAAUCAGCAGGUUGCGGGUUCAAGUCCCAUCGCCAGCUCCA
RNAcentral lists this transfer RNA (76 nucleotides) under Desulfovibrio sp. RNAcentral's name for it is "tRNA-Thr(tgt)". It matches the Rfam family "tRNA". From Rfam's summary of the family: Transfer RNA (tRNA) molecules are approximately 80 nucleotides in length. Their secondary structure includes four short double-helical elements and three loops (D, anti-codon, and T loops). RNAcentral also lists the same sequence under 4 other names. The record is from RNAcentral. Lineage: Bacteria; Pseudomonadati; Thermodesulfobacteriota; Desulfovibrionia; Desulfovibrionales; Desulfovibrionaceae.